GUCUAUGGCCAUGCUACCCUGCACAAGCCUGAUCCCGUCUGAUCUCAGAAGCUAAGCAGGGUCAGUACUUGGAUGGGAGACCACCUAGGAAGACCUGGUGCUGUAGGCC
This 109-nucleotide ribosomal RNA is filed under the name Pteropus alecto (black flying fox). The record is from RNAcentral. Lineage: Eukaryota; Metazoa; Chordata; Mammalia; Chiroptera; Pteropodidae.